Molecule: ribosomal RNA, 500 nt
Filed under: uncultured bacterium
Lineage: Bacteria
Description: partial 16S ribosomal RNA
Rfam family: Bacterial small subunit ribosomal RNA
Source: RNAcentral
AUUGAACGCUGGCGGAAUGCUUUACACAUGCAAGUCGAACGGCAGCACGGGGGCAACCCUGGUGGCGAGUGGCGAACGGGUGAGUCAUACAUCGGAACGUGCCCAGUCGUGGGGGAUAACGUAGCGAAAGUUACGCUAAUACCGCAUACGAUCUACGGAUGAAAGCGGGGGACCGUAAGGCCUCGCGCGAUUGGAGCGGCCGAUGUCAGAUUAGGUAGUUGGGGAGGUAAAGGCUCACCAAGCCGACGAUCUGUAGCUGGUCUGAGAGGACGACCAGCCACACUGGGACUGAGACACGGCCCAGACUCCUACGGGAGGCAGCAGUGGGGAAUUUUGGACAAUGGGCGCAAGCCUGAUCCAGCCAUUCCGCGUGCAGGACGAAGGCCUUCGGGUUGUAAACUGCUUUUGUACGGAACGAAAAGGCUCUGGUUAAUACCUGGGGCUCAUGACGGUACCGUGAGAAUAAGCACCGGCUAACUACGUGCCAGCCGCCGCCGUAA